GGCCAUGUGGCUCAGUUGGUAGAGCAUGGUGUUUGCAAAGCCAGCGUUCUGGGUUUGAUUCCCACGGGGGACCA
Molecule: non-coding RNA, 74 nt
Organism: Salmo salar (Atlantic salmon)
Lineage: Eukaryota; Metazoa; Chordata; Actinopteri; Salmoniformes; Salmonidae
Source: Rfam